Molecule: non-coding RNA, 255 nt
Rfam family: T-box leader
About the family: Uncharged tRNA acts as the effector for transcription antitermination of genes in the T-box leader family. T-boxes are found upstream of many aminoacyl-tRNA synthetase genes and some amino acid biosynthetic genes usually in Gram-positive bacteria. The anticodon of a specific tRNA base pairs to a specifier sequence within the T-box motif, and the NCCA acceptor tail of the tRNA base pairs to a conserved bulge in the T-box antiterminator hairpin.
AUAAAAACUAUGAUAGGGAGAAGUAUAUAUAGGAUAAGUUCAAAGCGAGCGGUGGAUGGUGAAAGCACUGUAAUGGAACUAUAUAGAAAGCAGCCCUUGAGUUUCCAAUCGAGAAAGAAGAAUUAAGUUUUAAUUCUUACAAUAGAGGAAGACGUAUCCUCACGUUAUAGAGGAAUAGAAUAAUCAAUUCUAGGUUAGAGAGAGUGCUAAGUAGCACUAAUUAGGGUGGUACCGCGAAAAUCCUUCGUCCCUUUA